UGGGGUCUAGCUCAGCAGUAGAGUGCAUGCUUAGCAAGCAUGAGGUCCUGGGUUCAAGCCCCAGUACCUCCA
Molecule: transfer RNA, 72 nt
Filed under: Camelus bactrianus (Bactrian camel)
Lineage: Eukaryota; Metazoa; Chordata; Mammalia; Artiodactyla; Camelidae
Also listed under: 2 other names
Rfam family: tRNA
About the family: Transfer RNA (tRNA) molecules are approximately 80 nucleotides in length. Their secondary structure includes four short double-helical elements and three loops (D, anti-codon, and T loops). Further hydrogen bonds mediate the characteristic L-shaped molecular structure. tRNAs have two regions of fundamental functional importance: the anti-codon, which is responsible for specific mRNA codon recognition, and the 3' end, to which the tRNAs corresponding amino acid is attached (by aminoacyl-tRNA synthetases). tRNAs cope with the degeneracy of the genetic code in two manners: having more than one tRNA (with a specific anti-codon) for a particular amino acid; and 'wobble' base-pairing, i.e. permitting non-standard base-pairing at the 3rd anti-codon position.
Source: Rfam by way of RNAcentral